AGCCUAAACUAGUGGUCACGCUGGCAUGGUGAAAAAGAUCCUUGGAAGAUACUGAACCCUACGUUCAGCGUUCUUCCAAGGACCGUACCUCGAAAGGGGUAUGGAUCCCGUAAGGGAUC
RNAcentral lists this small RNA (119 nucleotides) under unclassified sequences. RNAcentral describes it as "LOOT RNA". It matches the Rfam family "LOOT RNA". Rfam says of the family: Latescibacteria, OD1/Parcubacteria, OP11, TM7. Lineage (Microgenomates, aka OP11) The record is from Rfam by way of RNAcentral.